Molecule: ribosomal RNA, 433 nt
Filed under: uncultured bacterium
Lineage: Bacteria
Description: partial 16S ribosomal RNA
Rfam family: Bacterial small subunit ribosomal RNA
Source: RNAcentral
AGCGAACGCUGGCGGCAGGCCUAACACAUGCAAGUCGAACGAACUCUUCGGAGUUAGUGGCGGACGGGUGAGUAACACGUGGGAACGUGCCUUUUGGUUCGGAAUAACUCAGGGAAACUUGUGCUAAUACCGAAUGUGCCCUUCGGGGGAAAGAUUUAUCGCCAUUAGAGCGGCCCGCGUCUGAUUAGCUAGUUGGUGAGGUAACGGCUCACCAAGGCGACGAUCAGUAGCUGGUCUGAGAGGAUGACCAGCCACACUGGGACUGAGACACGGCCCAGACUCCUACGGGAGGCAGGAGUGGGGAAUCUUGCGCAAUGGGCGAAAGCCUGACGCAGCCAUGCCGCGUGAAUGAUGAAGGUCUUAGGAUUGUAAAAUUCUUUCAACGGGGACGAUAAUGACGGUACCCGGAGAAGAAGCCCCGGCUAACUUCGUG